This 252-nucleotide ribosomal RNA is filed under the name uncultured bacterium. RNAcentral's name for it is "partial 16S ribosomal RNA". It matches the Rfam family "Bacterial small subunit ribosomal RNA", at positions 524 to 775 of the family's 1533-position model. The record is from RNAcentral.
UACGUAGGUGGCAAGCGAUACUCGGAAUCACUAGGCGUAAAGCGCAGGUAGGCGGUUCGGUAAGUCUUUUGUGAAAGCUCCCGGCUUAACUGGGAGAGGUCAAGGGAAACUGCCGGGCUAGAGUGUGGUAGGGGAUACUGGAAUUCCUGGUGUAGCGGUGAAAUGCGUAGAUAUCAGGAGGAAUACCUAUGGCGAAAGCAGGUAUCUGGGCCAUCACUGACGCUGAGCUGCGAAAGCUAGGGGAGCAAACAG